AUGAACGCUGGCGGCGUGCCUAAUACAUGCAGGUCGAGCGCACAGACGAGGAGCUUGCUCCUCUGAUGUUAGCGGCGGACGGGUGAGUAACACGUGGAUAACCUACCUAUAAGACUGGGAUAACUUCGGGAAACCGGAGCUAAUACCGGAUAACAUGUUGAACCGCAUGGUUCAACAGUGAAAGACGGUCUUGCUGUCACUUAUAGAUGGAUCCGCGCCGCAUUAGCUAGUUGGUAAGGUAACGGCUUACCAAGGCAACGAUGCGUAGCCGACCUGAGAGGGUGAUCGGCCACACUGGAACUGAGACACGGUCCAGACUCCUACGGGAGGCAGCAGUAGGGAAUCUUCCGCAAUGGGCGAAGGCCUGACGGAGCAACGCCGCGUGAGUGAAGAAGGUCUUCGGAUCGUAAAACUCUGUUAUUAGGGAAGAACAAAUGUGUAAGUAACUAUGCACGUCUUGACGGUACCUAAUCAGAAAGCCACGGCUAACUACGUG
RNAcentral lists this ribosomal RNA (496 nucleotides) under uncultured bacterium. RNAcentral describes it as "partial 16S ribosomal RNA". It matches the Rfam family "Bacterial small subunit ribosomal RNA", at positions 29 to 507 of the family's 1533-position model. The record is from RNAcentral.